GGUUGCGAUCAUACCAGCACUAACGCACCGGAUCCCAUCAGAACUCCGCAGUUAAGCGUGCUUGGUCGAGAGUAGUACUAGGAUGGGUGACCCCCUGGGAAGUCCUCGUGUUGCAACCC
This 119-nucleotide ribosomal RNA is filed under the name Helianthus annuus (common sunflower). The record is from RNAcentral. Lineage: Eukaryota; Viridiplantae; Streptophyta; Magnoliopsida; Asterales; Asteraceae.